This 417-nucleotide long non-coding RNA is filed under the name Fragaria vesca (wild strawberry). RNAcentral's name for it is "long non-coding RNA (FVES_LNC000852)". The record is from RNAcentral. Lineage: Eukaryota; Viridiplantae; Streptophyta; Magnoliopsida; Rosales; Rosaceae.
AUGAAAAGAAGAAACUCACAUCCUGAGAAGAGGGGACAGCAUUAGUGUUAGCAUCAACAUCAUUUCCUUGCUUCCUCUUUUCUGAGGAUUCACUGUCAUCAAAAAUUUUCUGUGCUAUUUCAUCAGUAUCAACCCCUUCUUCUAUUCUGGUUUCACAGGUAUCAACAUCAGCAUUUCCUUGCUUCCUCUUUUCUGGGGAUUCACUGUCAUCAAAAUUUUUCUGUGCUAUUUCAUCAGUAUCAACCCCUUCUUCUAUUCUGGUUUCACAGGUAUCCAUAUUCUCUUUAGCUUCUUCAUGCCCAUCAGAGUCCCUCGGCUGAUUUGAAGAUGGAGAAUGUGAUGGUGCCUCCUGUGUUUCACUGGCUUCAAACAUUACCUCUAAACGUGAAAAAUCUCUGGCCAAACUGGAGGUCACAU